UUUGUUUUAAAAAAUAACUGAACAAACUCUUUGAAUAAUUAUAAAAAAUAUAUAUAAAUACAAUACAUAAUCCAAAUCAAACAAAAAUAUUUUCAAAUCCACCAAAUAAUACUAAAUUUCAAAUAAAAUCCAAACAUAAAUAUUUUCAAACACGACACAAAAACUAUUCCAAUUUGUUCUUUCUAAAAUUAACUGAACCCUAUCCUUCCGUUUUGAUGCCUUUCCUAUUAUGUAUUUCUUCAUGUGUGAGAUUAUUUGCAUAUGAUCAACAUCAAUCUUUGAAGCAAUACUAUAGCCUUCUGCAACACGAAUUGGAUGAAUGUUAGGUUCCAACCAUACUGAACAACUACAAUUGAUAUAGCCAUAUCCAUGUUACAUCAUAUAGAACAAGAGACCAAUCAAUCAAACCCUAAUAAACAAUUACAGGUAAAAGAAAUCAUGAAAAAAUAAAGAAAUCACUCCAUCUUCUUCUCCCCUGUAACUCUAACCUAUGUAAAUAUUACAUCAGAUAUAAAGAAAAUAAACUAACAAUUUCAGCAAACAAACAAUUUUAGCAUCUAAACAACCAAUUGUAUCAAAAAAAGGAAGAACAUAUCACAUACCUGAAAGGCGCAUGAACUUUGAUUUGUGAGGAUGCAACUGGACUUUUCACAAACAGUUGGCGGGUAUAAGAGUUGUAAUGAGUGAAGUCCUAGGAAAUUGACUGCGUAAUUACAAAAGUGACUGAAUGGAACUUUGGAUUAUAUAGUCUAGAAUAAGAAAUGCAAAUAAAACGAGGGGGGGAUGAAAAAUCACACAGAGGUGGUGGAGGAGUUCAUUACCACAGUCGACGAAUUUGAGGAAGAUGGAGGGGUUCAUUACCGGUGGAAAUGGCGGCGCAAGUAGAGGCGGUGGUCAGAUGAUGGAGUCGAUUUCAGGGAGGUCGACGACGGGAGGAGGUCGGAGGAGGUGUUCGACGCUCUACAGGGUCGGAUGUGGGAGGAGACGGAAGAGAAGAUAUGAACUUAGUGUAACCUGUCCUUAAUAGCUUUCAUCCCAAAAGUCCUAGACCCGAAGUUUGUGAAAAAUUACCAGCCGACAAGCGUUAUUGGUUACCUAAACAAAAGAUUACUGUCAAAUUUUAAAGGAACCUAAAACCUUUGAUUGUUAAUAAGAUUAGUGUUUGGCGUAGGGAUAAUAGAAAAAAAGUCAUAUAAUUCAAAGUAGAUUAUGAGAAUGCGUGUGACUCUCUUUUUUGGGAUUACAUAAGUCUUGUAUUACAUAUAUAUAAUGUUGAACGAUUGUCCAACUUUCAAAAUCCAAAUAAAAAGGGG
RNAcentral lists this long non-coding RNA (1313 nucleotides) under Lactuca sativa (garden lettuce). RNAcentral's name for it is "long non-coding RNA (LSAT_LNC007511)". Lineage: Eukaryota; Viridiplantae; Streptophyta; Magnoliopsida; Asterales; Asteraceae. The record is from RNAcentral.